GACUACAAUUCUUUUAGUCAAAAUUGCACUCGGAAUCAUCUGCUUACCUAUACUCACUGAAUAAAAAUUUCAAACAAAUGGUGCCUGAGUACCUGGAGCGUGUAUUUUUAAAGUUAUCAACUAAUUUCAAAAGAAUCGUCAAAAUACCCAUACAUAGCAUCAGUACAACUCACACGAAUCAUUCCAGGCUGCGUGUGGGGUGGAAACGUUUGGUGUUUCCUUCCAUUGACAGCCAAAGUCAAUCCGUUGUUGAUUCGUACAAUGCAUUUCAUUAAGGGGCUAGGGAGGGGAAUAAGGAUAGCUUUACGUUUUUAUCCAAAUGAGAAGUGAAACCGUUUGAUAAUUGGUACUAUUCUUAACAAAUAAUGAAUCGAUGCAUUGACUAGCAGUAGUUUCUCCUAGGUAAUCUGUCGGAAAUUGCAAAGGUUACUUAUUAGGGAAAUCUGAUUCAGGAAACCUGAAAUAUUUUCACAUUUCAGUCUAAGUUGAGGGGUUAAAUUAUCUGACCAUUCCAUCAGGGGCACCAUUUGUACGAAUAUGGUACGAAUCGCUAAACGUUUGUGUCUGAUAUCAGUCAAGUCUCCAAAUCGACUACUGUUUUCACUUCUUGUUUGCACGGAUGGUGUAGAUCGUGAAGCUGCUUGGAGAAAUCUUGCCCGUUUAUGUAAAAUGGAGAAAGAUGAUUGACCUUGAUUGACAGCAGGAAAAGAUACGCAUAAGCUUAAGUCAGACACACGUAGGUUGAAAAUGUCGUUUCUAGAGCCUAGACCUCAAUAACAUUUGGUCACCUGGUGCGCUAAACCCAGAAGUACCUCUGGUGACGAGAACGAGUCUUCCUGCGAAACCAUUCAUAUGAAAAUGUGUUCCCCAACAGGUUAAAUUUCAUGCAAAUCAACUCAUUUUCAUAUGAAAGGUUUUGCUCGAAGACUCGUUUUGAAACAGAGACACAAGGUAAAUUGGAAUGUUCCGUGUGGCCCGGUCAGGGGAUCUACUAACUGUAAGCAUAUUAGACAAGCUAACGCCAUGGCUUCUCAUGUCGUUAAUUCACCGCACACGCACGUACCAUGUCAUCGGGCAACCAUCCACCCAUAAAAAGUUUCCUUUUAACUGAAACCACAAUAUAGUGAGCCAGAUACUAUGAUGAGUUUUAUUACAAAUGUGAUAUCCGGAAGUACACAGGAUUUUAGUUAGCCUUGAGAAUACUUUCAUCUCUUACACAAUAUGUUGAUAACAAAAAAGCUUGAAGAUUAAGCAUUUGCGUACACAGAUGACAAGCACGUAGCCGUUUAAUAGGGCUGAAGGAACAAAUAUGACGCAAGGUUCUGUUGCUUUCAUGGAACUGCUUCCAAAAUAUUUCCUACAAUCAGCCUGCACACUAACAUACGCUCUCCCAUGCCGAGAAUAGGACAGGAAUUUGUAAUUUACUUAGAAUUUUGGUUGCGCAUAGUUGAUAAUGACCAGCAUGAGGAACAGAGACGAAGACGAACUGUUAACGUCUUUAGUUGAAGAUUUGUUCUUGUUUUGCGGAGUAAGCAAAUAGAAUGGUGUCCGUAGUAAAAUUCAUAAAAAUUUGUUUUGGUGGUGUACGAUGGUGUACGAUGUAGGAUUGAAGGUUCAGCUUCGCCUCCCUGCCCACUCCUCACUUUCUAGCUAUUUCCCAGUGAUCUUUGCGAGUGCAGUUCGUCUCCGCCAUUUUGGAACGUGUGCAGGAAAAGUAACGGUAAAUUGACUUUACCGUAAUUUCAAAGGAGAUGGAAUGUGAAGACGUGUGUGUUGACAACUUGUGAGGACCGUCCCUGGACGACGAUCAGAUGCUAUCAGUGACAAAGUGGACCAAGGCAUAAAGUAGUUAUCUUUAGAAGGGGUGCAUGAUUUGUUUUGCAAUCCAACUUUUGGGUGAACCAGGUAAACAAACUCUUAAAUAAGCCAAGUUCAACAUUUGUAAAUUGAAUGCAGUCAUGCAAUCUAUUCUGCCAUAGUUGACCUGUACAUGAAUAGACUGAAGUGCUCUCUUUUUUUAACGAUACUGUUUUGAAUUAAUUGUCAAUCAAAUAAUUCUUAAAAUAUUCUGUAGCCAUGUUCAAAAGUCUUACUCAGCAACAGACUAGUUAACUAACUGAAUGAUCAAUCGCCUGAUUGAUUGACUGACUGAUUGACACACUGUUGGAUGGUCUAAUUGACUGACCAAGUGACGGGCUGAUAGACAGAGGAAUGGACAGACAGACGGACAGACGGACUGACUAACAGACUGACAGAUGGACAGAAGAACAGAUGGAUGGACUGAAUAACCAACCAACUGACUGACUGAUUGAUUGACUUGGAAAUGGACGGACUGGUCAAUUGCCUGAUUGAUUGACUGACGGACUGAUGGAUUGUCUAAUUUACUGACUGACUCACUGACUGUCAGACAGGCUGACUGACUGGCUGGCUAAUGAACUAAACAGAGUGACUGACUAGUGGAUGGUCUAAUUGACUGACUGCCUGACUAACUGCUUGACUAACUGACUGACAGGGAGAUGAACUGACCAAAAGAUUGACUGACUGGGACUGACAGACUAACGGCCAAGUGACUGACUGAUUGACUGACAGACAGACAGACUGAUCA
Long non-coding RNA from Orbicella faveolata, 2605 nucleotides. RefSeq lists it as uncharacterized. Lineage: Eukaryota; Metazoa; Cnidaria; Anthozoa; Scleractinia; Merulinidae. The record is from RefSeq and is a predicted model, not a curated record.